AGAAUCAACGCUGGCGGCGUGCCUAACACAUGCAAGUCGAACGAGAAAGUGGAGCAAUCCAUGAGUAAAGUGGCGCACGGGUGAGUAACACGUGACUAACCUACCCUUGAGUGGGGGAUAACCUAGAGAAAUCUGGGCUAAUACCGCAUAAUACCUUCGGGUCAAAGGAGCAAUUCGCUUAAGGAGGGGGUCGCGGCCGACUAGUUAGUUGGCGGGGUAAUGGCCCACCAAGACUAUGAUCGGUA
This 245-nucleotide ribosomal RNA is filed under the name uncultured bacterium. RNAcentral's name for it is "partial small subunit ribosomal RNA". It matches the Rfam family "Bacterial small subunit ribosomal RNA", at positions 26 to 285 of the family's 1533-position model. The record is from RNAcentral.